Molecule: ribosomal RNA, 459 nt
Filed under: uncultured bacterium
Lineage: Bacteria
Description: partial 16S ribosomal RNA
Rfam family: Bacterial small subunit ribosomal RNA
Source: RNAcentral
CCUACGGGAGACAGCAGUGAGGAAUAUUGGUCAAUGGUCGGGAGACUGAACCAGCCAAGCCGCGUGAGGGAGGAAGGUACAGAGUAUCGUAAACCUCUUUUGUCAGGGAACAAAGGCGGGGACGUGUCCCCGGAUGAGUGUACCUGAAGAAAAAGCAUCGGCUAACUCCGUGCCAGCAGCCGCGGUAAUACGGAGGAUGCGAGCGUUAUCCGGAUUUAUGGGGUUUAAAGGGUGCGCAGGCGGUCUGUUAAGUCAGCGGUCAAAGCCCGGGGCUCAACCCCGGCCCGCCGUUGAAACUGGCAGUCUCGAGUUGGAGAGAAGUAUGCGGAAUGCGCGGUGUAGCGGUGAAAUGCAUAGAUAUCGCGCAGAACUCCGAUUGCGAAGGCAGCAUGCCGGCUCCACACUGACGCUGAGGCACGAAAGCGUGGGUAUCGAACAGGAUUAGAUACCCGUGUAGUC